RNAcentral lists this transfer RNA (93 nucleotides) under Kitasatospora phosalacinea. RNAcentral's name for it is "tRNA-Ser". Lineage: Bacteria; Bacillati; Actinomycetota; Actinomycetes; Kitasatosporales; Streptomycetaceae. The record is from RNAcentral.
CGCUCCGGAGGCGCCGGUGGCGCCGGUGCGGCCGGAGGUCGCGCCGCCCGCCAGGGCACCGGCUCCGGGGCCGGUUCCGGUCCGGCCGGCCGC